AAAAAUACAUUAUUAUUAUUAUCUAGCACAUUUUGCUUGAACCUAAUAUUUGAAUUAACAUACAAAAAUGAGUACAAUUAGAAAUAAUGAUAUGGGUUAUUCUGAUCCUCCUCCUAAUGCAAAUAAUUCGAGAAAUACAAAUCCUCCUAUCUCAAACCAAGGCAAAAGUUUGGGCUAUUCCAGUCCUCCUCCUAAUGCAAACAAUGGUUCUCAAAGAAGUCAGACAAUAAGGGCUCAAAAUCAGUCUUAUAGCAACACUUGAUAUGGCCAAGAGGUAUAUCAAGACACUAUGAUUCUAUUUGAUUUUUCUCUCCUAUAUAUAUAUUUUGAGACUUCUCUAAUCUACACAAUUAAAAUUGUUUUGCAUCAUGUUCAAGUGUGUGUUUUAUCAUUGGAUCAAUAAGUCUCACCGUAUCAUGUGAUGCAAUGGUAGGAUUUAAAGAUCCAACUAAAACUAACUUAUAUAUGAACGAUGAAGACUUCUCGGUUAUCACAUUUUUUUAAGAGACUAUUUAUCACAACAUCGAAUUGGCCUAUAUAUUAGAUGUUUCAAAUUUUUAAAAAUGUUUGAACUAAAAAAGAUUAAUCAUUAUAAUGUUUUUGACAUGAAUCGUCAAAGAAGUAGCGACAUCUAAGCUUAUAUUUAUGUUCUUUCACAAAAAAAUGUUUCCAUUUUGAUUUGUGUUCUUUCAAAAAAAGUUUUGAUUUGUGUGUUACUAACAAAUCUCAUUCCUCCUAACAAAAUAACUAUUGCAAAUUUGCCUCUAAAAAUUGUUUUUGAAUAAACUUAAAUCAUAAAUGAUAUUAAGAAAAAUAGAAUUUUAAAUCAUUUAAAAGUAAAUACAAAGGGUAUAUAUAUUUUUUUUGUUUUGUUAUAAUUUAAAGCUUAUAAAAUAUUUUAGUUUGAAAAUAUUUUUUUCAAAGUUCAAGGAUUCAAUCAUUAUGAAUUUUAGUUUGAAAAAUUAAUCCAAAAUUCUCAACCAAUUUAAGGAAAAAUUGAAUUAGUAUAUUCUAUCAAUGUACAAUUAUUUUACAUAUGCAUCGGAUGAUAUGUUGUCACAUCAAUUAACAAAAAUAAAAAUAUGUAAAUUGUCAUAAUCAUCAAUUUAUGUCGUAACACAUCAUUGAAUAUAUAAAUUAAAGGUACACUAACAGAGUAUACUAAUGUUUUAUUAUUUAAUUAUUAAACCUUUAUAUUUUGUAUCGGGACAUUCAUCAUUUAAAAAAAAUUGCAGGUCCUUUGGCGUGUGGAAAUUUCAUAUGGGAAGAAAAUUUACAGCAGCAAAUAAUCUUGUUUGUUAAAGAAUCAUCGUUUGUUUAUAAUUGUUGUAUUGUGAUAUUAAUUCAGCUUGUUAUAGUUAGUUUGUUACUAAGAGUUUGUUUUCUAUUUUCAGUUAGUUGCAACUGUUAUGUGUGUUUAAAUAGAACUCAAUGUAUUGAUCAAAGUGUGUAUUUCAAUAUUCGUCCAUUCGAUAAAUAGAACUCAAUGUAUUGAUCAAAGUGUGUAUUUCUUUGCCCAAAAUGUAUCAAUCAUAUAUGUUGUUCUAGUGUUCAAAUUUUUAAGUAGAUUGUACCAUUUUCUCACUUUCAUCAAUGAAAAACCAUUAUUCUUCUGUUGUUUCUUUGCAUACCAAGAUGGUAGGAGAAUGUAACCCUUGAUCUCUGGCUCCGUCAAUUUUGUGCAAUCGAUUCCUUUCUUCAAACUUUCGAGCUAUUGGGAUGGAUUUGUAGGGUUAUAGGCAUCAAGAACAAGAAGUUAGAAUGAACCAUUUGAAUGUAUGUUUGGGGUGAUCUAUGAAGCACGGAUACCUUUGUAGGAUCAGGUGUUUGCGGUGUCCAGCAUAUGUCGGUGUCAAUACUUGUAUGACAUUUGUUAAAAAUCCAAAAAAAGUUAGGUGCAUUUUUUUAGAUACUUUUUGUAUGGUUUUAACCAAACUACUCUCUUUUCAAACUCUAAAUUUUCUCUAAGUUUGUUAUAUUUAGUUAUAAAUCAUACGAAAAACACUUAAGAAAAUGCACUUAAGUUUUAUCCUAAAUAUUCUUAGACAAGUGUCUCAAAAGUAUUUAUUUAUUUCUUUGUUCUAACACUCCUUGGAUCACUGUCGAACACCCAUUUAACACCAUACGAUGAGUGUUAGACAAACUAAGACAAUUGUUUGAAAAUAUUUUCUAUUUCUUUUCUUGGACACAUAUUGUUCGACAAAUCUCAAACACAUAUAUGGAUUAAAGAUAUGUUGAAUACUAUAAAUCUUGUUUUAUUUUAUUUUUUUAUAAAACAAAUUGCUUAAUUUAUAUGAACAUUAUAUAUUUUGAUUCUCAAUUGAGUUCUUUUAAAAACAAUUAUGAUAUCUUAUUUAAUUGUAAUAAAUAAGUUAUUAUAUAUGUAGCGGUGUCAGUGUUCUGUAUCUCUCAAUUAUUUAAAAAUAUUAGCAAUGUCGACGUGCAUGUGUCGUAUCAAAUGUCUGAGUCAAAGUCCGUACUUCUUAAAAAUUAUCAAAGAUCUGAUAAUCGUCGCACUAGUCUAUGACCAACUACAUAAGUAAUUUGGACAUCAUAUUUAAAAACAAAAAACAUAAGCCAUGAGUAUAUAAAUCUUCUUAUUAUAAGUUGCCUAACAUUUGUAGUGCAAAAUCAACGUCUAAACAAAUCUUUAGUAAAAAUUUAGUGAAUGAACAAACAAAGACUAUAUAUACUCUUAAUACAAAAUCAAAGAACCAACCACUUACAAUCUCAGACCAAUCCCAGAAAUUAGAAAUAGCUAAUGCACAUGAAUUAGAUAUCCAAAGUUUCAUAUUUAAAUUUUUAACAAGACGGAUUGAUGGUGCACUUUGGACUGUUUUAAAAUUAUCUGAUUCAAUGUUUUGUUUUUCUUCUUUUGAACCUGUUAUUUGGUCUAAAAAACGACUAAUCCGAGAUGUACAAUCUUAUCAGCAACUUGUGAGGCUAUCAUUUAAAGUCAAAGCUUCUUUGUUUGUUUAUGUGAUCCAACGAAAGACUUUUAAUAUAAUGAGCAAUGGAGAAGCUUAACCAUAGUAUUUGAUCAAUCUGUUUCACAUCACAUGUCGUAUUUAACCACUUCACACAUGUCAAAACACAAUUUUUUUUUUAAGAAUUCAAACUAACUAGCCAAAAUUGUCACUGUGGAGAAUCGAAUCUGACACGCUUUGAGAGGAGCACACUAUGUUCUUCUUCUGAGAACAUAGCAUGAAUUUUACAAUCUGAGCUUCUUACACGCCUUUAUCUCAGCACGGUAGCGACAUGGUCAAAUUUCUCACCGCCAGACUUAAUUCAUCAUAAACUAACUUCGAAAUUGUUUUGAAGGGAACUUCGAAAUUGUUAACCACAAUUCUUCUUUGAAAGUGUUUUGUUACACGUUAUUGAUCAAUGAAAUAACUCUAUCAUAUUAGCCAUUCUCCUGAAAACAGAGUUAAAGGUGGACUUUUGAUGUUUAUAAUAUUGAAUAAAUGGGAAGAGAUGUCAUAAUUUUUUUUGUCCGUAUAUGAAGGGGCAUAUACUAGCUAAAUUUCAAAUGCUACUGUGAUACUUCGGUUAAAAUUUAGGUGAAAGUGUUUAGCAUAACAAUAUUGUCAUUGUCAGUUGAGUUAGAUCUUACGUAGAAAAAUAUAUAAUGUUGUAUAAAUUUUUAAGUUUAAACGCGGUUCGGAUCCCCUAUUAUGACAAAAAUAGCAAUUUUAUUCCCUCCAUUUUUAAUUGCGCAAUUUUGAUACCCAUUUUUAAAAAAAAUUGCCAAUUUGUAAUUUUGACCAUCCAAUUUGAUGAUGUGGCAAUAAAUUGUUUAAGUUUAUUUCAAUUAAUAUUCUUUCGUCUUCGUAUAAUUAGUCUUGUCAUCAAUUUGUGUGAUCAAAAUUAUGGGUUGGUCAAAAAUUCUGAACUGAGAUACCAAAUUUGCCAAUUAAAAAUGGAUAGCCAAAAUUACGGUUUUACGAAAACAAGGAAUCAAAAUUGAAUCUUAGAGGUUAAGCCACAAGUUUGGAGCUUUUGAUACUCUGCAUGUGAAGAUGUGGGGCAUGUAAUUGGUGCUUGACAUGACUUUGUAUCUCUCAUCUAAUUAUAGAGUGACUCAAAGGUUCAUGUAAUUGGGCUUGACAUGACUUUGUAUCUCUCAAAGGUUAUAGAGUAACUCUUCAAGAUUUUCUUUAGAAGGACACAUACUUUAGUCUUUUUUUUUUUUAUAAAUUCUUGGAAUUUUCUUGUUUUGCAGUCCCCUCUUAGAUAUCUUUACAUACUUCUUUUUGAUGAUAUUGCAGGAGCUUGCAUGCGAAAAAAUGUGCAUUUGACUUAUUAAUUUUCUUUUGAGCCACUUGCCCUCUAUUAUACCAAAACAAAGAUCACACAUUACCUGUUCGUGCAUGAAUUACAUAUGAAAUAAUCUAUUUCCAUACUUUUUCUUGCAUUUUAUAAAGACCCCCAAGUAAAAUACCGGAAAUAUCUAUCUAUAUGAUUUUUGUUUUUUAAGGUAUCCUAUCUAUAGGAGUUGAACCUUUUUUUUUAGAGGAUUUGAGUUGAAACGUUAAAAAAAUAUCUUAUAGGAGGUCCAAUAUUCAAUCCCAACUAAUUUUUUUUUUAGGAACUAAUCACCAGCAUUUCUCAACAAUGAAGAGUGAAAAUUCAUGGAUAUUUUAUCAAAAUUCGCUAUUCGUUUCCAAUCUUUUUUUCUUCUUACUUCUAUGUGCAAAAUCUCUCCAAUCUUUUCCCUCUUUUUUUAUUGAUUAAAAUUUGAACAUUUCAAAAUGACUAACGUGUAGUCGAUAAACAAGUUAAAACAUGGGAGAGAAAUUCCUUAUGAACAAAGCAUAUCAUUUCCUAAGUAUCUGCAAAAAGAAAAAAAUUGUAGAACAAACUUCGUAGAUCAAAUGAAGGGUUACAGUGCAAUUUGUCCGAGUGGUAUCCGUAGUAAGAACUUAACUUUUAUAAUAGAGUUCAAAUCUCACAUGAGACAAUUAUAAAAUGAUGAUAGUAACAUCGUUAUUAAUAAGGUUUAAAUAGGCCUUUCGUCCCUGCAACUAUAGGUCAUUUGAAUUUUUGUCCCUGAAGUUACUAAUCCUUCCAAUCUGCCACUGCAAAAUUUAAUCAUUUGACUUUUGAUCCUAAUUAGGUUUUUUUGCUGAGGUGGGCUGUCAUUAACGACAUGGUGCCCAUGUGGUAAGUGAUGAUUGGGCUAGCUGGUUGGCUUAAAUAAGUUUUUCGUCCCUGAAGUUACUAAUCAGAUGUAAUUAGGACCAUUUUUGAAAUGAUUAAUAUCUUCAAUGGCAAAAUGGAAUGAUUAGUAACUUCAUGGACGAAAAUUUAAAUGGCUUAUAUUUGCAGGGACGAAAUACAUAUUUAAACCUAUUAAUAAUAAUCUUGCCUUCUCCAUUUUUCUUUUUUUAAAGAAGGGUAACAUUGCAAUUUAACACUCAUAAUUUAAAUUAUUUUGACCAAGUUCAUGUCAUUCAACCAUCAACUACAAUCUGUUACGUGUGGUAUGUAAAACCCUUAAAUGAAUAUUGCUUAAACUUACCAUGAAAUACAUGGUACAUUUCUUGUAUAUUGCAGCCAGGAUUACAAUGUCUAUAAAUACUAGACUGAAUCAUAUAUAUCCAAUCAAACACAUAGAAAAAAUACAUUAUUAUUAUUAUUAUUAUUAUCUAGCACAUUUUGCUUGAACCUAAUAUUUGAAUUAACAUACAAAAAUGAGUACAAUUAGAAAUAAUGAUAUGGGUUAUUCUGAUCCUCCUCCUAAUGCAAAUAAUUCGAGAAAUACAAAUCCUCCUAUCUCAAACCAAGGCCAAAGUUUGGGCUAUUCCAGUCCUCCUCCUAAUGCAAACAAUGGUUCUCAAAGAAGUCAGACAAUAUGGGCUCAAAAUCAGUCUUAUAGCAACACUUGAUAUGGCCAAGAGG
RNAcentral lists this long non-coding RNA (5901 nucleotides) under Medicago truncatula (barrel medic). Its description in RNAcentral is "long non-coding RNA (MTRU_LNC008358)". Lineage: Eukaryota; Viridiplantae; Streptophyta; Magnoliopsida; Fabales; Fabaceae. The record is from RNAcentral.